GGGAACGCUUACUUGUUCCUUAACAACUAUUCCUUCAUCCUCUUUUAUCCAUUGAAGUUUGUAAGGGUUAGGAUGAGGGGUAGGAGUUAAGCCUAGCUUUUCAACCAUUCUAGAGCUACAACAAUUACAACAAGAACCACUAUCCACAAUCAUAGAACAAGUUUUAUCAAGAACUUUGCAGCGAGUGUGGAAGAGGUUUUCUCGUUGAGUCUGUUCUAACUGAACAUGCUUUGCUUCAAGGAGUCUUCUAACCAUGAGAAGAUCUCCAUCACAAGGUGGAGCUUCAUGUUCCUCCUCAGAUGAGGACAACUCAGAUGUGCUAGAAGAGGACUCCUCACUUGGACUCUCAUGUUCAAGGAUAUAGGUUGACUUUUUGAAGUGACACUCAUUUGAAUAGUGUCCUCUUGCUCCACAUUUGAAACAUCUAGUCUCUCUACCCUUGGUAUCUCUAGGUGGCUCUCUUGAAGUCCUUUGUUCUUUUCCCUU
Molecule: long non-coding RNA, 486 nt
Filed under: Vigna radiata
Lineage: Eukaryota; Viridiplantae; Streptophyta; Magnoliopsida; Fabales; Fabaceae
Description: long non-coding RNA (VRAD_LNC002623)
Source: RNAcentral